Molecule: long non-coding RNA, 249 nt
Filed under: Lathyrus oleraceus (garden pea)
Lineage: Eukaryota; Viridiplantae; Streptophyta; Magnoliopsida; Fabales; Fabaceae
Description: Pisum sativum (pea) long non-coding RNA (PSAT_LNC019637)
Source: RNAcentral
CUGAAAUUGCUUUAUCCUUAGAGGAUUUAGGACAAUGCUUGAAUGUUCCAUGUGUUGGUCAAAAAGUUCAGCACAAUUUUACUCCAGAAUGGGCUAAUUACAAUAAGUUUAACUACUAUGUUGAAAUUUCAAGAAUGUCUCAGGAUGAGAUAAUGAGUAGGAAAAAUCCAUCUUUUUUUAGGUUCAUUUACUAUGCAAGUACCUUAACUGUAAGUGAUAGAAUGAUGCACUUUCUCAUUGCUUACAUUU